GCCUCCUAAGUGGCUGGGAUUACAAGUAUGCAUCAUCAUGCCCUGCCUGAACAUGACUUUUUUAGGUGUUGUUGAAGCAGAAAUCUUCUACAACAACAUGGGAAUGGCAGAGUUGAGUUCUUUAGUUAUGCAAAGGUCCUCUGAAAAAAGCUGGAGAACUGUGGCUCUAAACCAGAGUUUCCAAGGCUGUGAUGCUGUCUUUGAUGCUUGUAUUCCAGAAUACUUUCAAGACUUUUAAGGUCUACCUCACUUCCUCAUCGCAGUAGCUGUCAUGAUGCCUGACGCAAAGUAGGUACAAGAUAAAGAUUUGGUAUUGGAGAAAGAAGAUUCCACAUGCAAAAAGAUUCCAUAGUCUAGUAGAUUUGGAACUAGAUAAAGUCUUCCUUUUUGAGACCACUGGAUAAAUACAGACAAAAGCACAAUGAUUGUUUUGGCUACUUGGUUAGUCUCACUGAAGAACUUCUCAGAACCUUUAAUAGGCAGUGUGCAUUUUUUUUGGUCCAAACCAGGCCUACCAUGUGAUGAUCCCCAAGUCAACUGACUGUGUGACUCCUGCUCCCUACGAUGCUUUUUGGUGUUCUAAGGGACCAGGUGGUAGGAAAACCAGGAGAAACUGCCUGCCUGACUGUUGUCCUGUAAGGGACCCAUCUCCAAGCCAGCUGCUGGGAAGGCACCACAUUACUCAGCCCAUAGAUGUUUCCAUUGCUCUUAA
Molecule: long non-coding RNA, 712 nt
Filed under: Chinchilla lanigera (long-tailed chinchilla)
Lineage: Eukaryota; Metazoa; Chordata; Mammalia; Rodentia; Chinchillidae
Description: lncRNA (ENSCLAG00000024570.1)
Source: RNAcentral